AUUGAACGCUGGCGGCAUGCCUUACACAUGCAAGUCGAACGGCAGCACGGGUGCUUGCACCUGGUGGCGAGUGGCGAACGGGUGAGUAAUACAUCGGAACGUACCUUAUCGUGGGGGAUAACGCAGCGAAAGCUGUGCUAAUACCGCAUACGCCCUGAGGGGGAAAGCGGGGGAUCGCAAGACCUCGCGCGAUUAGAGCGGCCGAUGCCUGAUUAGCUUGUUGGUGGGGUAAAAGCCCACCAAGGCGACGAUCAGUAGCUGGUCUGAGAGGACGAUCAGCCACACUGGGACUGAGACACGGCCCAGACUCCUACGGGAGGCUGCAGUGGGGAAUUUUGGACAAUGGGGGCAACCCUGAUCCAGCAAUGCCGCGUGAGUGAAGAAGGCCUUCGGGUUGUAAAGCUCUUUUGUCAGGGAAGAAACACCGGUUCUAACACAGUCCGGGAAUGACGGUACCUGAAGAAUAAGCACCGGCUAACUACGUGCCAGCCGCCGCGGUAA
RNAcentral lists this ribosomal RNA (501 nucleotides) under uncultured bacterium. RNAcentral describes it as "partial 16S ribosomal RNA". It matches the Rfam family "Bacterial small subunit ribosomal RNA", at positions 30 to 523 of the family's 1533-position model. The record is from RNAcentral.